Molecule: ribosomal RNA, 2190 nt
Filed under: Salinibacter sp. J07SB67
Lineage: Bacteria; Pseudomonadati; Rhodothermota; Rhodothermia; Rhodothermales; Salinibacteraceae
Description: bacterial LSU rRNA
Rfam family: Bacterial large subunit ribosomal RNA
Source: RNAcentral
UUAAGCAUUGAUAAGGCUCAUGGUGAAUGCCUUGGUAUGGGCAGGCGACGAAGGGCGUGAUAAGCUGCGAUAAGCUACGGGAAGCUGCAAAUAAGCGUUGAUCCGUAGAUUUCCGAAUGGGGAAACCUGGCAGGCAACGCCUGUCACUUGCUACUCAAUACAUAGGUAGUAAGAGCUAACCCGGCCAACUGAAAUAUCUCAGUAGCCGGAGGAACAAAGACCAAUUGGGAUUCCCUCAGUAGUGACGAGCGAAGGGGGACAAGCCUAAACUGACGUGGUUUCGGCUGCGUCAGGGUUGUAGGGCCCGCACCGAAACCUACGCGUCGAAGUCGAAACUGACUGGAAAGCAGUACCAAAGAGGGUGAAAGUCCCGUAGGCGUAAGACAACUAGGUUUCGCGGGAGCCCCUGAGUACCACGGGACCGGAGAAAUCCUGUGGGAAGCGGCCAGCACCAUCUGGCAAGGCUAAAUACUCGCCCAUGACCGAUAGUGGACCAGUACCGUAAGGGAAAGGUGAAAAGAACGCCUAAUCGGCGAGCGAAAAGCACCUGAAACCAUGAGCUGACAACCAGUCGGAGCACGGACCCUUUGGGUCGGUGUGACGGCGUGCCUUUUGCUUAAUGAGCCUACGAGUUGCUCCUCACUGGCCAGGCUAAGGCCUUCAGGGCCGUACCCGCAGCGAAAGCAAGUCCGAAUAGGGCGUCGAGUCAGUGGGGGCAGACGCGAAACCGAGUGAGCUACCCAUUACUAGGUUGAAGCGCGGGUAAGACCGCGUGGAAGACCGAACCGACCAGUGUUGCAAAACUGCCGGAUAAGUUGUGGGUAGGGGUGAAAGGCCAAUCAAACUCGGAAAUAGCUCGUUCUCUCCGAAAUGCAUUUAGGUGCAGCGUUAUGUUAAAGUGUGCUGGAGGUAGAGCACUGAUUGGGCUAGGGCCCUUCACCGGGUACCAAACCCUGACAAACUCCAAAUGCCAGUACACGUUUCAUGACAGUGAGGGCAUGGGGGAUAAGCUCCAUGUCCGAGAGGGAAACAACCCAGAUCGACAGCUAAGGCCCCUAAGUUCAGACUAAGUUGGACGAAGGAGGUCGGACUGCUUAGACAACCAGGAUGUUGGCUUAGAAGCAGCCAUUCAUUAAAAGAGUGCGUAAUAGCUCACUGGUCGAGCGGUCUGGCGCCGAAGAUUCCCGGGCAUCAAGUCUGACGCCGAAGCUUCGAAAUCGUCCUUUGGGCGAUUGGUAGGAGAGCAUUCUAGUUGCACAGAAGCUGUGUUGUGAGGCACAGUGGAGCGGCUGGAAAAGAAAAUGUAGGCAUGAGUAACGAUAAAACACGUGGGAAACGUGUUCGCCGCAAGCCUAAGAGUUCCUGUUCAACGCUAAUCGGAACAGGGUUAGUCGGGACCUAAGCUGAGGCCGAAGGGCGUAGGCGAUGGAAAACGGGUCAAUAUUCCCGUACCUCCCAACAGCGUUAACGUCCGAUGUGACGUGGUAGCGUAAGGGCCGCGUGCUGACGAAAGCACGUUGAAGCAAGUAGGCCGGAGCGGUAGGCAAAUCCGCUGCUCCAUUCCAAAGGCUGAACCGCGAUAGUAGAGGGAGCCGACAGGCAAACUCAUAGAGCCCCCAAGCAUGCCACCAAGAAAACCGUCAUGCGUCGCUGAAGGAGCCCGUAUCAUAAACCGACACAGGUAGGCGAGGAGAGUAUCCUCAGGCGCUCGAGUGAAUCGUGGUCAAGGAAUUCAGCAAUCUAGCCCCGUAACUUCGGAAGAAGGGGCGCCCUUUUCCGUCCAAAAGUGGAAAAGGGUCGCAGUGAACAGGCUCAGACGACUGUUUAACAAAACACAGACCUCUGCUAAGUCGCAAGACGACGUAUAGGGGUUGACACCUGCCCGGUGCUGGAAGGUCAAUGGAGCGUGUUAAUGCCCUUUGGGCAUGAAGCUCGCAACUGAAGCCCCAGUAAACGGCGGCCGUAACUAUAACGGUCCUAAGGUAGCGAAAUUCCUUGUCGGGUAAGUUCCGACCUGCACGAAUGGUGCAACGAUCUGAGCACUGUCUCGACCGCGAGCUCGGUGAAAUUGUGGUAUCGGUGAAGACGCCGAUUACCCUCAGUGGGACGGAAAGACCCUGUGCACCUUUACUACACCUUGGCACUGACAUUAGUCAGGACAUGUGCAGGAUAGGCGGGAGGCAUGGAAGC